AUUUAAAUAAUUUAAUUAAAAUAUUGAUUUGUGGAAUCAAAAAUAUGUUGAGUAACAUUUUAAAUA
This 66-nucleotide transfer RNA is filed under the name Wiebesia pumilae. RNAcentral describes it as "tRNA-His". The record is from RNAcentral. Lineage: Eukaryota; Metazoa; Arthropoda; Insecta; Hymenoptera; Agaonidae.